CCCUUAGAUGUUCUGGGCCGCACACGCGCUACACUGAAGGAGGCAGCGUGUACUCCUGGAUCGAAAGAUUUGGGUAACCCGCGAAUCUCCUUCGUGCUAGGGAUUGAGGUUUGCAAUUAUCCUUCAUGAACGAGGAAUUCCCAGUAAGUGCAAGUCAUAAGCUUGCGCCGACUACGUCCCUGCCCUUUGUACACACCGCCCGUCGCUACUACCGAUUGAAUGAUUUAGUGAGGACUUCGGACUGGGACCGAUGCGGCUUUCGGGCUGCGUCGGUAUUCUGGAAAGAUGUCCAAACUGUAUCAUUUAGAGGAAGUAAAAGUCGUAACA
This 327-nucleotide ribosomal RNA is filed under the name uncultured eukaryote. RNAcentral's name for it is "partial 18S ribosomal RNA". It matches the Rfam family "Eukaryotic small subunit ribosomal RNA", at positions 1470 to 1796 of the family's 1831-position model. The record is from RNAcentral.